GGAGCAAACGGGAGUAGAUACCCCGGUAGUCCACGCUGUGAACGAUGGGUGCUAGAUUUUGGAGGUCUCGACCCCUUCAGAGCCGCAGCUAACGCAUUAAGUACCCCGUCUGGGGAAUACGGUCGCAAGGCUGAAACUCGAAGGAAUUGACGGGGGCCCGCACAAGCGGUGGAGCAUGUGUCGUAACUUCGAAGCAACGCGAAGAACCUGACCAGGGUAUGACAUGUGAGCUUCGACCUUCGGGAAGAGGUUAAUCCAGUGAAAGCAGGACGAAUCACACAGGUAUUGCAUGGCUGUCGUCAGCUCGUGUCGUGAGAUGUUGGCUUAAGUCCCGCAACGAGCGCAACCCGUGCUGUUAGUUACCAUCGGGUCAUGCCGGGGACUCUAGCAGGACUGCCGGUGUAUAGACCGGAGGAAGGUGGGGAUGAUGUCAAGCCAUCUAUGACCCUCUACACCCUGGGCUAACCACGUGCUACAAUGGUCGGUACAAAGGGGAGCGAUACCGCGAGCUGGACCAAUCCCAAAAAGCCGGCCUCAGUACGGAUUGCAGUCUGCAACCUCGCAUGCAUGAAGCGGGAAUCGCUAGUAAUCGUGGAUCAGCACUGCCACGGUGAAUACGUUCCCGGGCCUUGUACACACCGCCCGUCACGCCAUGGAAGCUGGUAGCACUCGAAGUCGUCGACCCUUACCUCGUGAGGGACACGCCGUAAGCUGAGCCUGAUACCUGGGGUUAAGUCCUAACCAG
This 745-nucleotide ribosomal RNA is filed under the name uncultured organism. Its description in RNAcentral is "bacterial SSU rRNA". It matches the Rfam family "Bacterial small subunit ribosomal RNA", at positions 765 to 1495 of the family's 1533-position model. The record is from RNAcentral.